This 469-nucleotide ribosomal RNA is filed under the name uncultured bacterium. RNAcentral's name for it is "partial 16S ribosomal RNA". It matches the Rfam family "Bacterial small subunit ribosomal RNA", at positions 28 to 507 of the family's 1533-position model. The record is from RNAcentral.
GACGAACGCUGGCGGCGUGCUUAACACAUGCAAGUCGAACGAUUAAGCACCAACUUGCUGGUGUGGAUUAGUGGCACACGGGUGAGUGACACGUGAGUACCCUGCCCCUCACCCUGGGAUAACCCUGUGAACCUGGGUAUAAUACUCGAAACGACCGUACUCCGCAUUUUCUGUUGGAGGGAGGGUGGUGAGGUGGGGGAUGGACUCGCGGGCUGCCAGCUGGUUGUUGGGGGAAUGGCGUACCACGGCGACGACGGGUGGCCGGCCUGAGAGGGCGACCGGCCAACCUGGGACUGAGAUACGGCAGGGACUCCUACGGGAGGCAGAGGUGGGGGAGAUUGCACGAUGGGCGAACGCCGGAUGCAGGGGGGCGGCGUGCGGGAUGAAGGCCUUCGGGGUUUAGACAUCAGUCACCAGGGAGGAAGCUAACGUGACGGUACCUGGCGAAGAAGCCCCGGCUAACUACGUG